RNAcentral lists this ribosomal RNA (253 nucleotides) under uncultured bacterium. RNAcentral's name for it is "partial 16S ribosomal RNA". It matches the Rfam family "Bacterial small subunit ribosomal RNA", at positions 524 to 776 of the family's 1533-position model. The record is from RNAcentral.
GACGAAGGAUGCAAGCGUUAUCCGGAUUCAUUGGGUUUAAAGGGUGCGUAGGCGGACUGAUAAGUCAGUGGUGAAAUCUCUCGGCUUAACCGAGAGACUGCCAUUGAUACUGUCUGUCUAGAGUAUAGAUGACGUUGGCGGAAUAUGACAUGUAGUGGUGAAAUACUUAGAUAUGUCAUAGAACACCGAUUGCGAAGGCAGCUAACGAAACUAUAACUGACGCUGAGGCACGAAAGUGCGGGGAUCAAACAGG